UGUAUAUUUACUGCAAUAAUCCACUCCAUGGCUGAUGAUCUUUUAACAGGAUGGAUAGUGUACAACCCAAAUAAUUAUACAGGAAGUAUCCAUACAUGGUUGGAGGAAUUCAGACCAUCACAGAUUAAUCAAAAUAACUAUCAUAGACCAGAGUGCUUCGUGAUAAAGCUGUCACCAAGCCUGGAUAUAAUGGGGGGCUUAUGUCGACCUUACAAUUGAAAGCAUCUGGCAUUUCGGCAACUGGGAGCAACUGCCUCUUACAACCCACUUCAACUAGUUCCAGUCAAUUGCCCAUGUUUAACUUUCUGCAACUCGCUUCAACUAGCGGCACUUAGUUGCCGUUGACAUGAGCGCUUGUACAACUGGUGUCAACUCAUUUCCAUCGAAACAACAUCUCAUGAUAAGAGACAUGUGACUUUAUAAAUAACAAAAAUGGAAGUGAACGAAGACACCCACUUUUCAAAUGUUGAUGAUGUCGACAAUAAUGCAUGAAUAGAAUUGUGGAAGGACUGACCAUGCCUUUGGGGUGCUUCUUCUAAGAGAUAGUGGUAUUCGCUGGCUUUCUCUUCGAUGUCCAACAACCCAGGAAUGUGGACUAGAUGAAAGUGAAGAUGAUGAAAGUGAAGAUGAUGAAAGUAAUUUAGAUGGAUUAAUAGAGUCAUUUGAUUGUUUACAGGC
Patella vulgata (common limpet) is the source of this 678-nucleotide long non-coding RNA. RefSeq lists it as uncharacterized. The record is from RefSeq and is a predicted model, not a curated record. Lineage: Eukaryota; Metazoa; Mollusca; Gastropoda; Patellidae. The transcript has 3 exons.